This 89-nucleotide transfer RNA is filed under the name Acidobacteriota bacterium. Its description in RNAcentral is "tRNA-Leu". It matches the Rfam family "tRNA". Rfam says of the family: Transfer RNA (tRNA) molecules are approximately 80 nucleotides in length. Their secondary structure includes four short double-helical elements and three loops (D, anti-codon, and T loops). The record is from RNAcentral. RNAcentral also lists the same sequence under 2 other names. Lineage: Bacteria; Pseudomonadati; Acidobacteriota.
GCCCGGGUGGCGAAACUGGCAGACGCAACGGACUUAAAAUCCGUUGGCCCGCAAGGGCCGUGCGGGUUCGAGCCCCGCCCCGGGCACCA